UUUUUUUUUUUUUUUUUUUUUUUGUUGAAUUUCAAACAUUAAAUGUUAAAGUAUAUUUUAAAUGUCAUUGCUGCCCUCCCCUUUUUUGAAAUGUAUUAGGCAAAAAUGUAAUGCUCAGUUGUAAAACAUUGUAUUUUCAAAUGUGUAACAAGCUUUUCACAUAUCAAGUCGUUUUUGUUAAGUUUCUAGGAUUCCUCAAAAAAAACAGUGACUAUAAAACUUUUGACUGUAAUUAAAUUUUUAUGAAUUAAACUUUUAAAGUAGUUAAAAAACAAAAGUAGGACCCAAAGUAAAAACUGUUUCAAACACAUGUUUGUUAUUUGUUGUGAUAUAUUAUGUACAGAACUAAAUACUAUACCUACCUAUAUAUAUAUAUAAAUCUACUUGAUCAAAUAUCAAUAUUUAAAAAAAAAAUGUAUUGUUGCUGCCUUUUCUUGUUCCAUUUCUUGAAGCCUACCUUAUGGUAGCUGUGGGAUGGUGACAGUUGUUGUGGGAAUGGGUCACUUAGUGUAAAUAACAGACAAGCUUGGCAGCGGACAGAACUAGUUGUUGUUAAUUCUCAGACAUUGUAGCAUAGAUUUGUUUUCAAAGUUCAAUGUGCCAAGAGUUGUUCUUUUUUUUUUUUUUUGUAAUGUUG
This is a non-coding RNA of Biomphalaria pfeifferi, 637 nucleotides long. Lineage: Eukaryota; Metazoa; Mollusca; Gastropoda; Planorbidae. The record is from the annotation of a GenBank genome assembly.